UGAUGGAGGGGGAUAACUACUGGAAACGGUGGCUAAUACCGCAUAACGUCGCAAGACCAAAGAGGGGGACCUUCGGGCCUCUUGCCAUCAGAUGUGCCCAGAUGGGAUUAGCUUGUUGGUGAGGUAACGGCUCACCAAGGCGACGAUCCCUAGCUGGUCUGAGAGGAUGACCAGCCACACUGGAACUGAGACACGGUCCAGACUCCUUCGGGAGGCAGCAGUGGGGAAUAUUGCACAAUGG
RNAcentral lists this ribosomal RNA (241 nucleotides) under Salmonella enterica subsp. enterica serovar Newport. RNAcentral's name for it is "partial 16S ribosomal RNA". It matches the Rfam family "Bacterial small subunit ribosomal RNA", at positions 131 to 374 of the family's 1533-position model. The record is from RNAcentral. Lineage: Bacteria; Pseudomonadati; Pseudomonadota; Gammaproteobacteria; Enterobacterales; Enterobacteriaceae.